CUGAACAUCCUCUGUAGGAAAUUUAAUUGAUUAAAGGGACUAUCCCUCGGAGAAUGCACACAUUUUUGUUCCAUAAUAUCUGAUUACGAUCUGUUUGUGUUCCUUAGAAACGAGUUUUGUUUCUGCUGCCCUUGUUGUUUUUUAUGGUCCAGCGGUGAGACCCAGAGACGAAUUGUUCAGAGGGUGGAAUAUAAUAAUGUAAAGGUGACGAAGACCAAGCUAAGAAUGCAUCUGAUGAGUGGUAUGAUGAAGAAGCCUGCUUUGGCAGUUGAAUUAUUAGUUCCAGUCAUUUUCUCACUGUGUUGUCGUAGUGCUGUGCAUCUACAUCUCUACCACAGCUUCAAGGUGAGCAAACACUAGUUCCCCCCUAUAUUAAUCAGCCUUCUGUUACUGUAAUGAA
Molecule: long non-coding RNA, 400 nt
Filed under: Fukomys damarensis (Damara mole-rat)
Lineage: Eukaryota; Metazoa; Chordata; Mammalia; Rodentia; Bathyergidae
Description: lncRNA (ENSFDAG00000031025.1)
Source: RNAcentral